CGAACGCUGGCGGCGUGCUUAACACAUGCAAGUCGAACGGUGAAGCACCUUCCUUUUGGUGGGUGUGGAUGAGUGGCGAACGGGUGAGUAACACGUGAGUAACCUGCCCCCUUCUUCUGGAUAACCGCAUGAAAGUGUGGCUAAUACGGGAUAUUCUGCGCCUGCUGCAUGGUGGGUGUGGGAAAGAUAUUGUUUCGGUGGGGGAUGGGCUCGCGGCCUAUCAGCUUGUUGGUGGGGUGAUGGCCUACCAAGGCGGUGACGGGUAGCCGGCCUGAGAGGGUGGACGGUCACACUGGGACUGAGACACGGCCCAGACUCCUACGGGAGGCAGCAGUGGGGAAUAUUGCACAAUGGGCGCAAGCCUGAUGCAGCGACGCCGCGUGAGGGAUGGAGGCCUUCGGGUUGURAACCUCUUUCGCCAGUGAAGCAGGCCUGUCCCUUUUGUGGGUGGGUUGACGGUAGCUGGAUAAGAAGCGCCGGCUAACUACGUGCCAGCAGCCGCGGUAAUACGUAGGGCGCGAGCGUUGUCCGGAAUUAUUGGGCGUAAAGAGCUCGUAGGCGGCUGGUC
RNAcentral lists this ribosomal RNA (568 nucleotides) under Actinomyces sp. 316395/08. RNAcentral's name for it is "bacterial SSU rRNA". It matches the Rfam family "Bacterial small subunit ribosomal RNA", at positions 30 to 584 of the family's 1533-position model. The record is from RNAcentral. Lineage: Bacteria; Bacillati; Actinomycetota; Actinomycetes; Actinomycetales; Actinomycetaceae.